Molecule: long non-coding RNA, 831 nt
Filed under: Homo sapiens (human)
Lineage: Eukaryota; Metazoa; Chordata; Mammalia; Primates; Hominidae
Description: non-protein coding lnc-LIMS4-1:8
Source: RNAcentral
GCCCACCCGCAGCGGUCACGUGAAGGACCGAGCGCCGCGCGCCCAGGCGGGGCCUCCGGCCUGCACGAGGAGGGCAGAGUCCGUUGCGGCUGCCGCCCCGACGCCCGCGCAUCCCCGCUCGCCGCGCCCGCCGCCGCGAUGUCCGGGGCCGGCCUAGCCGCGGUGGUGAGCUGCCUGCGCCCGCAGCCCGGCGAGGAGCCGCAGACCCAUGAGACGUUACUAUUUUUAUAACCACUAGACAACGCAGGUUGCCGCAUACUUCUUUAUUUGUGUAGACCUCGCUCUUGCCCUGUUUGAAGAGCCUGAGUUGCUUCCCCUGCCUUUCUUGGCCACCUCAAUAGCAGAAGUACUCUGCCUGACUGCAUACUUUGGCAGACUGGUACAUUUUGCAAAAGUCACUCCUCAAAUGGUUUUCUGGAAGGAUACAAAAGACAUCUGCACCAUGGUAACCACAGUGGCGAGUGUUCAUUGUAGUACCUGUAAGAGUUUAUGACCAAAGGCAGGAGCCAUGAAGAAAAAAGACUCAAUAGAUUUGCUUUUGAUGAAACAACAACACUUCCAUACAGUGAACGCCAUAAGCACAACUGCAAGCAAACCGCAAACUGAAGAACAAAUAGGGCAAAAUGUGGCAGUGCAGACAUUUCAGCAUAUCAAGAGCACUUCCAAAUUACAGGAAAAAAAAGAUAUCUCAAUAGAUAAUUUUGCUGAAGAUAAGUGAAGGCAACUCAUAAGGAAAAAAUAUGUAAAAUGGCCGAUAGGAAAGAUGUUUAACGUCACUAAUUAAAAAUUAUAGAAUAAAACGACAAUAAAAUACCAUGUGUUUGCCUAUAA